AUUCCAACAUCAUAAAUUCUGAUCUUAGGGUCCGGAACACCACGGCAGUAUCGAGAUUUCGGGUAUGGCUUGUUCUUGAUUUGUCGGUAACACCUCCAAGGUCCUACAGAGAAGGUUUUUAGCAAACCAACCCAAUUAUGCAAAGCAAAGAUCA
This is a long non-coding RNA of Hibiscus syriacus, 154 nucleotides long. RefSeq lists it as uncharacterized. Lineage: Eukaryota; Viridiplantae; Streptophyta; Magnoliopsida; Malvales; Malvaceae. The transcript has 4 exons. The record is from RefSeq and is a predicted model, not a curated record.